Molecule: ribosomal RNA, 254 nt
Filed under: uncultured bacterium
Lineage: Bacteria
Description: partial 16S ribosomal RNA
Rfam family: Bacterial small subunit ribosomal RNA
Source: RNAcentral
UACGGGGGGAGCAAGCGUUGUUCGGAUUUACUGGGCGUAAAGGGCGCGUAGGCGGCCACCGCAAGUCGACUGUGAAAUCUCCGGGCUUAACCCGGAAAGGUCAGCCGAUACUGCGGGGCUAGAGUGCAGAAGGGGCAACUGGAAUUCUCGGUGUAGCGGUGAAAUGCGUAGAUAUCGAGAGGAACACCUGCGGCGAAGGCGGCUCUCUGGGACGGUACUGACGCUGAGACGCGAAAGCGUGGGGAGCGAACAGG